UACGUAGGGGGCGAGCGUUGUCCGGAAUUAUUGGGCGUAAAGAGCGCGCAGGCGGUAUGACAAGUCAGAUGUGAAAGAGGCCGGCUUAACCGGCAAGGGUCAUUUGAAACUGUCAGACUAGAGUGCAGCAGAGGAUAGUGGAAUUCCCGGUGUAGUGGUGAAAUGCGUAGAUAUCGGGAGGAACACCAGUGGCGAAGGCAGGUCUCUGGGCCACUACUGACGCUGAGAAGCGAAAGCAUGGGGAGCGAACAGG
RNAcentral lists this ribosomal RNA (253 nucleotides) under uncultured bacterium. RNAcentral's name for it is "partial 16S ribosomal RNA". It matches the Rfam family "Bacterial small subunit ribosomal RNA", at positions 524 to 776 of the family's 1533-position model. The record is from RNAcentral.